Molecule: small RNA, 776 nt
Filed under: Histoplasma capsulatum
Lineage: Eukaryota; Fungi; Ascomycota; Eurotiomycetes; Onygenales; Ajellomycetaceae
Also listed under: 1 other name
Description: hypothetical RNA
Source: RNAcentral
UCUAUGCACAGUACAUCGUACCAUGUAGCAGGCGGAUCCUGUCCACGGUCCCCAGAAAGUCGGUGAUGCGAUGCUGAUGAUAUUGAUUUGGAUUUGAGGCUUUGGGAGAUUUUUUUCUUCCCGACAACCCAUUCCAAAACGUAUCGGCUUGUUUUGGCACCUGUCAUUACUGUCACUAUUCCUUACUGUUCUUCUCCUUCUUCUUCUGAACCUUUGCUUGUCUCUUAGGGACCUUCCUUGAAUUGAAUUCAGAUCUUUUGAUGCCCUGAGAUUAGAGAGAAAUCUAUAUAUCUUUCCAUAGAUACGGACUAGAAGGGAUCGCCAUCCCGUCGCAUGUGCAUAUGCAUCAGUGUUUAGGUGACCUUGAUCAGUCCAGGGAGGAGUUGGAAGCCGAAGCUGAAUCAUAGGUGGGGAUGGAGGUCAGGUGUGGACCAAAAGACCCUGCACACACUAGAUAUAUAAAUAUAUCGCGAAAUAUCAAUACCAGGCCCAAAAAGCCAUUCUGGCCCUUGCUGUGCCUGAGUAUGGACAAGGGGCUGCCAACUAGGAUCUAACAGAUUUAUACCAUGUAUAGUUAUCUCCAGCAUUCACAAGGCAGUUUGUUCCACACGUCUGGAACUAUAUAUAUCUUGCGGUAUUGCAGGGGUGUUGUCACACACACACAUAAAUAUAUAUAAACUGGGACCAGAUCGGCGGUUUCACCAAUUUUAUUCAUUGAGAAUCUGCAGGUCUGUUCCACUCGCUGAAAAAGAGGCGAGCAAAAAAAAGAAAAAAGA